AAUGCAUGAUGUGGACAUUUCUUAAAUAGUUCUUUAAAACUUUAUCAUGCCACAUAAAUAAAUUCCCCAUCUAAUUGGGUAAAAGAUGAAAUAUCAUUCUUAACUUG
Small nucleolar RNA from Dendrobium catenatum, 107 nucleotides. The record is from RefSeq and is a predicted model, not a curated record. Lineage: Eukaryota; Viridiplantae; Streptophyta; Magnoliopsida; Asparagales; Orchidaceae.